RNAcentral lists this unclassified non-coding RNA (362 nucleotides) under uncultured bacterium. RNAcentral's name for it is "contains 16S-23S intergenic spacer region". The record is from RNAcentral.
UCCCCGUUACCGGGGCAGUCUAGCUAGAAAAAUUCAACUAACUAUAAGGGUUGCGCUCGUUGAUGGACUUAACCAAACAUCUCACGACACGAGCUGACGACGGCCAUGCAGCACCUGUCACUGCGGCCCGAAGGCACAGUCCCCUUUCGAGGACCUUGGCAGGAUGUCAAACCCUGGUAAGGUUCUUCGCUUACCCUCGAAUUAAACAACACGCUCCACCGCUUGUGCGGGUCCCCGUCAAUUCCUUUAUGUUUUAAGCUUGCGCUCGUACUCCACAGGCGGGAUGCUUAACGCGUUAGCUUCGCUACUACCAGGGUCGAUACUGAUAACAGCUAGCAUCCAUAGUUUACAGCGUGGACUAC